This 34-nucleotide ribosomal RNA is filed under the name uncultured Microdochium. RNAcentral's name for it is "partial 18S ribosomal RNA". The record is from RNAcentral. Lineage: Eukaryota; Fungi; Ascomycota; Sordariomycetes; Xylariales.
AUUACUGAGUUUUUAACUCUCCAAACCAUGUGAA